GUGCUCACUUCAGCAGCACAUACACUAAAAUUGGAACAAUGCAGAGAAGAUUAGCAUGACCCCUUUGCAAGGAUGACGUGCAAACUGGGGAAUUGUUUCAUAUUUUC
Meriones unguiculatus (Mongolian gerbil) is the source of this 107-nucleotide small nuclear RNA. The record is from Ensembl. Lineage: Eukaryota; Metazoa; Chordata; Mammalia; Rodentia; Muridae.